Molecule: ribosomal RNA, 440 nt
Filed under: uncultured bacterium
Lineage: Bacteria
Description: partial 16S ribosomal RNA
Rfam family: Bacterial small subunit ribosomal RNA
Source: RNAcentral
CCUACGGGAGGCUGCAGUGGGGAAUAUUGCACAAUGGGGGAAACCCUGAUGCAGCGACGCCGCGUGAGUGAAGAAGUAAUUCGUUAUGUAAAGCUCUAUCAGCAGGGAAGAAAAUGACGGUACCUGAGAAAGAAGCACCGGCUAACUACGUGACAGCAGCCGCGGUAAUACGCAGGGGGCAAGCGUUAUCCGGAUUUACUGGGUGAAAAGGGAGCGUAGACGGCAGUGCAAGUCUGGAGUGAAAGGCGGGGGCUCAACCCCCGGACUGCUCUGGAAACUGUACGGCUGGAGUGCAGGAGAGGUAAGUGGAAUUCCUAGUGUAGCGGUGAAAUGCGUAGAUAUUAGGAGGAACACCAGUGGCGAAGGCGGCUUACUGGACUGUAACUGACGUUGAGGCUCGAAAGCGUGGGGAGCAAACAGGAUUAGAUACCCGAGUAGUC